UUUUUUUCGGAUAUAAACCCGUUCUGAAAUCGAGUUACAGGAGGCCUGGGCUUUUCCUUUUAAACAGAUGAAGUAGGGUGUGUGUGGGGGGGGGGAGAUGCUAUAAUUGGAUCACUUACUGUGUGACUAAUCACAGCCGCCGGUAACCACAGUGACUGUGGUUUUAACCUUACUUGGUCAUAUGCAAACCACCCGGCUGACCCAGCCAUCUGCAGCGAGGCGGGGGGCUGCCAUGCCGGGCGGUGGCACUGCACAGCAGGUCUGUCCCUGUCCCUGUCCUUGAGGUCGGGAGCGUGGUUGCACAGCGGGCAGGACUGGUGCCUGCAGCCAGAAAUCCAGAUCUGAAAUUAGGGGCUGAGGCUUGGCCUUGGAAAAAAAACGCCAAGCCCUGCACGUCCAUGUGUGACUGCAUCUGAUGGUGCCCACACUGCAGUUCAUCUAUUCCUGGCCAGGGAAGUCUGUGACAAGGGAUCGAGCAGAUUAAGAGUGGAUUCCUUGUUUGUUUGAGGGAGGACUAUCCCUAAAAGCCAUUAUUAACCUCCUUACCUCCAGGCAGCCUGCUGCCGGAGCCCCAGGAGCACGGCUUUCACCAGCUGACCCACCAGUUCAGGGCUACAGCCAGCACAGUGGGUCGCGGAGAUCAGGCAGGGCAAGAUGUGCAUCAAUGCCGUCUCAUUUCCGUGAAAUGAAUUAAAAGCAGCACAGUGAGGCCAGGGAACCCCACCUGCCCUGUGCAAGCUCAGACACCCGCACAGUUCGGGCUCAUUGUGAGCCCAGGUUUCUUUUUCACAGAGCAAGGACGGAAGGAAGCAACAAAUGGGAAGGAAACCGUCCUGCUGGUGAAAUCCAAAACCGGAUCGGUUGCAUCCAUCUUCCCUGCUCUGGCGUGCUGCAGUGCUGCUGUGUGCUGUUUUAGGAACUGGGACCGCUGCGUCGCUCCAGAGGAGACAGCACGAGACCCAAACAGGAAAGAGGUUGCCAGAAGAAGCCCCAUGGAGAUGCAGCAUCUGUUCCAUCUUUCUCUUUUUGCUCUAGUUUUAAUCCUUCAGCUGAAACACUUGGGCAGCGAGAUGCAGAAUUUGGUUUGAUCUGUUAUGUUUUCUGCAAAUCCUCAACCUAAUAUCACAUCCUGUAACACUUCAGGCAGCAGAUAUGUUUUGCAGAUUUUGCUUGACACCAGGCUGUAGUCAGAAAUUGCAGACAUUUUAAAGUAAUAUAGGUAGUAUAAAGGCAGAAUUUUUAAUAUAUCAAAGUAUUUAAUGCAUUAAAAAUACUUAGAAUUCCUUGAGAAACA
This 1294-nucleotide long non-coding RNA is filed under the name Phasianus colchicus (ring-necked pheasant). RNAcentral describes it as "lncRNA (ENSPCLG00000020691.1)". Lineage: Eukaryota; Metazoa; Chordata; Aves; Galliformes; Phasianidae. The record is from RNAcentral.